AAAUUGAAGAGUUUGAUCAUGGCUCAGAUUGAACGCUGGCGGCAGGCCUAACACAUGCAAGUCGAACGGUAACAGGAAGCAGCUUGCUGCUUUGCUGACAAGUGGCGGACGGGUGAGUAAUGUCUGGGAAACUGCCUGAUGGAGGGGGAUAACUACUGGAAACGGUAGCUAAUACCGCAUAACGUCGCAAGACCAAAGAGGGGGACCUUCGGGCCUCUUGCCAUUGGAUGUGCCCAGAUGGGAUUAGCUAGUAGGUGGGGUAACGGCUCACCUAGGCGACGAUCCCUAGCUGGUCUGAGAGGAUGACCAGCCACACUGGAACUGAGACACGGUCCAGACUCCUACGGGAGGCAGCAGUGGGGAAUAUUGCACAAUGGGCGCAAGCCUGAUGCAGCCAUGCCGC
RNAcentral lists this ribosomal RNA (403 nucleotides) under Escherichia coli. RNAcentral's name for it is "bacterial SSU rRNA". It matches the Rfam family "Bacterial small subunit ribosomal RNA", at positions 1 to 400 of the family's 1533-position model. Lineage: Bacteria; Pseudomonadati; Pseudomonadota; Gammaproteobacteria; Enterobacterales; Enterobacteriaceae. The record is from RNAcentral.